This 289-nucleotide unclassified non-coding RNA is filed under the name Hevea brasiliensis (rubber tree). The record is from RNAcentral. Lineage: Eukaryota; Viridiplantae; Streptophyta; Magnoliopsida; Malpighiales; Euphorbiaceae.
CCCGGCUAAACCUGGUUCUUUGCAUCAUCUCCCUCGCUAAUCAAUCUUUGGAAUCCUCUGUCUCCUAAUUUCCCAGCCUAAAAUAGACAAAUUCUCCAUUAAUUGUAGUGGGUAUUUAAGNNNNNNNNNNNNCUGGUGAUUUGAGAAGAUCGAUUCAAGGAGGAGAGGUAUAAGGAGUGGGUGAGGAACGGUGUCUUGAAUGCAAAGCCAAACAUGGCUGCAACUGUUUCCAAAAAUGGUGCCGACUUCCAUGGUUUUCAAGGGAUGUGAAAGGACUAAAGUAUUGUUG